GGGCCCAGUGCCUGCCGGGAAGGACCCCGCCGGCCCGGGCUGCCGCGCAGCGCUGCGGCGCCCCCGCCUGCCUGGCCUGGGGCCGGCCCCGCAGCCCACUGCUGCCUUCAGAAGGGAUCCUGGCGGGCGGAGACACAAAAGUCGGGAGACCUGAUUCUGCCUCUGCCACACCUGAGGCAACUCUCGCAGCCUCUCUGGGCCCAAGUUCCCUCAUCUAUAAAUAAAGCGGGACUUCCCUUGGUGUAGUGGUUAAGAAUCCGCCUGCCAAUGCAGCGGACACGGGUUCGAGCCCUGGUCCGGGAAGAUACCACAUGCCGCGGAGCAACUAAGCCCAUGCGCCACAACUACUGAGCCUGCGCUCUAGAGCCCAUGAGCCACAAUUACUGAAGACCACGCGCCUAGAGCCCGUACUCUGCAAUAAGAGAAGCCACCGCAAUGAGAAACCUGCUCACUGCACCUAAGAGUAGCCCCCGCUCCCUGCAACUAGAGAAAGCCCGUGCACAGCAACGAAGACCCAACACAGCCAAAAAUAAAUAAAAUAAAAUAAAUUAAUUUAAAAAAAUAAAAUAAAUAGAGCGGUUCAAGAAAGGACCUUAAGAGUCGCCCAUCAGAUUUGAAGUUCUGUUCAAUAAAGCGGUUCAAGAAAGGAACUUAAGAGUCGCCCAUCAGAUUUGAAAUUCUGUGUGCAAACUGUUUCCCGAGGGCAGCUGAAAGGAAGGUGAAGUCUUGGCGUCUCCCCUUUGAAGCUCAGGUGGUUGAGAGUCUGCCUGCCAAUGCAGGGGACACGGGUUCGAGCCCUGGUCUGGGAGGAUCCCACAUGCCGCGGAGCGACUGGGCCCGUGAGCCACAACUACUGAGCCUGCGCGUUUGGAGCCUGUGCUCCGCAACAAGAGGGGCCGCGAUAGUGAGAGGCCCGCGCACCGCGAUGAAGAGUGGCCCCCGCUUGCCACAACUAGAGAAAGCCCUCGCGCAGAAACGAAGACCCAACACAGCCAAAAAUAAAUAAAUAAAAUAAAUAAAAUUUAAAAAGAAUGGCUUUAAAAAAAAAAAAUGUUAAUUUCUAGUUGCCAAACUGCCAGAAGUGAGCCAGAGCUUUUUACUGUGCUCGUCACCACCAGCACCCGAGGUGGGGAUGGCACACAGAAUAGAAAAUGGAAAAGUAAGAAGCAUGUGCAGUUCUUAAAGCUUCUAGUCUGUGAGUGCCUGCUGCCCUUGCUGGUGUCUUAACCUCCCUGAGCAGCUUAUUCAUCUUAGUGUCCCCCAGUAGUGUCCAGGGUGAGUGGUCAGUAACCGAUGUUUGUUGACCACACAGAAAUGACAGCGGCACCAUCAAGAGAACAUGUGCCUUGAGCUGCUUUUCCAAGAAUGGAAACGGAUUUGCUUUGAUCCAUUCAUGUGACGGGGGCAUACUUUGUGAGGGUUAGGAAGGUAAUACAUGACUACUGAGUUUUUCAGGCAGAACAAGAGGCCUUGUCCCCCUUAGUCAGCCUCAUACUUACUUAACCCAACCAAAUUAGGGCCCAAAUGAGUCCAGUGAUUGUUCAGGGAACCUUAAAAGAGUAUGAGGGAAGAAAAAGCAGAAGAAAGUCCUUAAACUCACUGGUUCGCCCCCAGAAACCCAGACUGUACUUUUAGAGAAGUUAGAAGUAGAAUGGACUGUUGGAUCCUGUUUGACUUUGCUGUGUCUGCUGCCCUUUGUUCUCUUUCUCCUUCUUCCCUAAAUUGCUACCCGCCCCCAUUCUCCACUCGCUCCCUAAAAAGCAUUAGAGCACUUGAACGGAUGAACUCUUCUGCCUCCUGGUACACCCAGUAUCAAAGCACACAGGGGAUUCUGUUACAUGUGCUUUGAAGUCAGGUUUUUCUCUCUUAGACUAGAGCAGCUGUG
Molecule: long non-coding RNA, 1885 nt
Organism: Balaenoptera acutorostrata (minke whale)
Lineage: Eukaryota; Metazoa; Chordata; Mammalia; Artiodactyla; Balaenopteridae
Exons: 3
Source: RefSeq, a predicted model, not a curated record